Molecule: non-coding RNA, 28 nt
Filed under: Mus musculus (house mouse)
Lineage: Eukaryota; Metazoa; Chordata; Mammalia; Rodentia; Muridae
Source: RNAcentral
UGUCCCUACUAACUUGAUGCGAUGACUC